Molecule: long non-coding RNA, 558 nt
Filed under: Trifolium pratense (red clover)
Lineage: Eukaryota; Viridiplantae; Streptophyta; Magnoliopsida; Fabales; Fabaceae
Description: long non-coding RNA (TPRA_LNC011754)
Source: RNAcentral
CAGGUUGAUCUACAAGAUAACAAUCGAAUCGAAUAAUGAUCAAAUUGAAAGGAAAAAAAAAAGGAUUAAAUUAAAUAAUCAAACAAUUAAGAAAAUUAACAAUUAAAACAACAAAAAUAAAGCUAAUAAAAAUUACAAGAAAAAGAAAACCGAAGAAAUAGAGAAAUUCUUGAAAUGGAACCCUAACCUUUUGGUAGAUUUGGGAUCGAAGAAGAGAGAGAAAGAAAUUGAAAUGAGUGUUGUAAGUGUUGAUUUUUUUUUCUCUCUCUCUCUCUUCUAUUUUUUUUUUGUGUUUGAAAACUUUCUUUCUUUCUUCUCUUUGUUUUGCCAACGAAAGCUCUUUGGUGGUGAUUGGUGGCGACGUGGGUAAUGGUUAUUGGGGUGUGAGGUUUAUUGUUGAAUUUACUAUAUUGUCCUUUUUGGUGAUGCUGUUGGCGGUUUUGCCAGGUAGAAAUGUUUGGAAGGUAUGGGUAUGAUGGUCCACCUAAAUAUUUUAUGGAGUGUUUGUUACGUUAAAUUAAAUUAAGUGGAAGAUUUGGUGAGGGGGUAAGGUUUGUA